AUUGAACGCUGGCGGUAGGCUUAACACAUGCAAGUCGUGCGAGAAAGUAUCUUCGGAUAUGAGUAGAGCGGCGGACGGGUGAGUAACGCGUGGGAAUCUACCUAGUAGAAGGGGAUAGCCCGGGGAAACUCGGAUUAAUACCGUAUACCUCCUUCGGGAGAAAGAAGGCCUCUCUUUGAAGCUUUCGCUAUUAGAUGAGCCUGCGUAAGAUUAGCUUGUUGGUGAGGUAAAGGCUCACCAAGGCGACGAUCUUUAGCGGGUCUGAGAGGACGAUCCGCCACAUUGGGACUGAGACACGGCCCAGACUCCUACGGGAGGCAGCAGUGGGGAAUAUUGGACAAUGGGCGCAAGCCUGAUCCAGCCAUACCGCGUGUGUGAAGAAGGCCCUAGGGUUGUAAAGCACUUUAAGUUGGGAAGAAAAGUUAUUGGUUAAUACCCAAUAACCGUGACAUUACCAUCAGAAUAAGGACCGGCUAAUUCCGUGCCAGCAGCCGCGGUAAUACGGAAGGUCCAAGCGUUAAUCGGAAUUACUGGGCGUAAAGCGCGCGUAGGUGGUUUAUUAGGUUGGAUGUGAAAUCCCCGGGCUCAACCUGGGAACUGCAUCCAAAACUGAUUCACUAGAGUACGAUAGAGGGAGGUAGAAUUCACAGUGUAGCGGUGGAAUGCGUAGAUAUUGUGAAGAAUACCAAUGGCGAAGGCAGCCUCCUGGAUCUGUACUGACACUGAGGUGCGAAAGCGUGGGUAGCGAACAGGAUUAGAUACCCUGGUAGUCCACGCCGUAAACGAUGUCAACUAGCUGUUGGAAAACUAUGUUUUUCAGUGGCGCAGCUAACGUAGUAAGUUGACCGCCUGGGGAGUACGGCCGCAAGGCUAAAACUCAAAUGAAUUGACGGGGACCCGCACAAGCGGUGGAGCAUGUGGUUUAAUUCGAUGCAACGCGAAAAACCUUACCUAUACUUGACAUACUUGGAAUGCUUUGUAAUGAAGCAGUGCCUUCGGGAGCCAAGAUACAGGUGCUGCAUGGCUGUCGUCAGCUCGUGUCGUGAGAUGUUCCGUUAAGUCGGAUAACGAGCGCAACCCUUACCCUUAUUUGCCAGCGAUUCGGUCGGGAACUAUAAGGGGACUGCCGGUGAUAAACCGGAGGAAGGUGAGGACGACGUCAAGUCAUCAUGGCCCUUACGUAUAGGGCUACACACGUGCUACAAUGGAGAAUACAGACGGACGCUAAGCCGCGAGGUGGUGCUAAUCCUAGAAAAUUCUUCGUAGUCCGGAUUGGAGUCUGCAACUCGACUCCAUGAAGUCGGAAUCGCUAGUAAUCGCGAAUCAGCAUGUCGCGGUGAAUACGUUCUCGGGUCU
This 1356-nucleotide ribosomal RNA is filed under the name uncultured bacterium. RNAcentral's name for it is "bacterial SSU rRNA". It matches the Rfam family "Bacterial small subunit ribosomal RNA", at positions 28 to 1381 of the family's 1533-position model. The record is from RNAcentral.